AUGCAUCCGUCUGCUGUAUCAAGUGGAAUUAGUUGCAGUUGAAGCUCAAGUAGGCUCUUUAUUUUGAUCAGAAUCACCCUAGAACACAUGCAUUAGACUUAAUUUUGUUAAAUUAGGUUACAUGAAGUCUAGCAUAGCCUGUGUUAUCUGCAUAGAGUUUGCAUUUUUAGACAUCGGUGAUCAGUGGCGGAGCCACACCUUGAACAACGGUGUCGCCCGACACCAUUGAAUUUUAUGUAGCAAAUACAACGCAUAAUAGGAAAAAUUUGAGCGACACCAUUGGUUUUUUACGAGCGACACCAUUGUCAUUUUACAAACAACAUCAUUGUUUGUUUUCUUCUAAAAGAAUUAGAUAACAAACAAAUUUAUAGUUCAAAAAUUAAGCCCAGAUACUUGAAUUUAAUUAGUAUACUUUAAAUCAUUAGAGGUACAUGUUUAAUUUUUUUUUCUAAUCUAGUAAGCAUUAUAGGCCCAUGUCUAAUUGGUUUUGUUUCAAUUGUUUAACCUAAUCAGAACCAGAGAUAUACCAGAGAUAUUUGCUGAUCAUCUGAAUGAUGCUUGCACUUGUUUGUUAUCACACCACCUCUAAACUAUAAUAAUUUUUUGAUAAACGAUUUACAUAUACCCUUAAACUUUAAUAGAUUUACCAUAGGUAAGUUUAAUAGUUAUUAUAUUUUUUUAUAAGCGAUUUAUGUUUUGACCCCAAAACUUUAAUAGAGUUAUCAUACGCUCCUUAAAAUUUAAUAAAGUUAAUAAACUUAUUUAUCUCUUUGUUAACAAAUAUAUGUUCUUUUAUCCUUUUUAUAGGUUUAGUUCUUUUUUGUUUUACUUAUUAUAAUUAAAGCUAACUUUUAACUCUACGCAUGGUUAUUUAAUCACGUUGCUUUUUAACCCUUCAAUAUAAAAUAUACAAGAUAACAAAUAUUAUCAUUUUUUUAUUUACCUUAUUAUUGUUAAAUGGAACUUGUAACUCUAAAUUGUUUACUUAAUUGUGUUGAUUGCUUAAUUUUACCAUCAUGAAAUAUAUACAUCCUCCCCAUCAACCUCUACGACCUCGCCACAAAGCAUGGGCAGAAUCUUCACCAUCAACCUCCUACGACCCGCCGGGAAGCGCAUACUCGAAUACUAGUUGAAAACAUUAUGAAUCGUUUUCAAAACAUGAAAAUGCGUACAGAGCAACUAUUAAAUGAAAAUUUUAAUAUAUUUCAAAUGACUUUGUAAUUUUAUUAUGUGUUUUUGUUCAUUGAUAUUGUACUUUUACUGUGGUAUUUGCUUUUAUUAUGUGAUUCGACCCGACUAGAUCCGAACCGAUCUAAAAAGUUCGACUCUGAGUUACUAUAAACCGGGGUAUCCAUAAAAAAUGACACCAUAAGAAAAAGUUUCUGGCUCCGCCACUGUCGGUGACUACAGUGUCGGUUAAUGAUGUUAUUCAACGAAACAAACGUUGGUGACGACCCGGUAAUUAUUCUAAUAUAUUUUAAUAAAAAAUAUCAUUUAUAGGCAAAUAAAUAUAUGUUCAAAUUAAGAUGUACUAUUGUAUAUUAAAACAAUUAAUUUGUGGUUGAACACUUGUCAUAUAUAGAGGAUUACAUAAGAGUUUGGACGAGGGCACUUCAUUUCAGUAAGUAAAGAACUACGAGAAUUACAGAACCCUCUUAGCUAUGAAAAACACUAAGAUGAAUAUUUGGUGGUUAUGAAAAACAGUAAGUAUAAAUGUAUCAUAUCAUUUUCUUACGUUUCUCUACUUAUAGUUAUUUGUGUAUUGAACGCACACUCAAUUUAAACACUCCUUGAAACUUGUAUCUUUUAAUCUUUUAUUUUAAUUGUUGUAUAAGUU
RNAcentral lists this long non-coding RNA (1837 nucleotides) under Helianthus annuus (common sunflower). RNAcentral describes it as "hypothetical non coding rna". The record is from RNAcentral. Lineage: Eukaryota; Viridiplantae; Streptophyta; Magnoliopsida; Asterales; Asteraceae.